This 1256-nucleotide long non-coding RNA is filed under the name Astyanax mexicanus (Mexican tetra). RNAcentral describes it as "lncRNA (ENSAMXG00005015857.1)". The record is from RNAcentral. Lineage: Eukaryota; Metazoa; Chordata; Actinopteri; Characiformes; Acestrorhamphidae.
UCUCUCUCUCUCUCUCUCUCUCUCUCACCCCCUCCCUCAUCCCUUCAUUUCUCCACUUACUGUAAAACAAGGCCUCUUUUUGUCCAGAGCCUCAUCAGACUCACAUGUUUCAGAAGAGAGGGAACGGAUAGGUGGAACAGAGGAAGAAAAGGAGUGAAGGAGAAGAAAGUGAUCUAAGAAAGCUCAGACUCUUGUGGACACUGAAGGCCAGGCUUUUGAGAUCUGAAGUCUAAAGAAAGCUGAGAGGAUUUUAGAUGCAAAUAAUAAUAAGAAGAAGGACGAGAUUCCAGAAGUGGACUUAGAGCUGGAGUUAUAGCUCUUGGAUUUAGAACAUCAGUGGACCAUGGAGAACGGCAAAGUGGAAGAGUAGACCAUGAACAAGGCAAUUAAAAGGUUUACAAGCCAAUGAAACAGUAGCUUAGCCCCGCCCAUUGCAGUGGAAAAAAGACAGCAACCUAGACAUUAGGGCAUGGCAGCACUAGAGCAAGCAAGGCAAAACACGUCUCUUUUUCCAUCACUUGAAGAUAAUUCAGGUCUGAAAGCGUUAAGAAGUGCAAGUGCAAAUGCUGAGGACCUUGAUUACUUGAUUAUCUCAGGCCUAAAAUGCAGACGGACACAUGGAUGAUACAGACUUGCACAUGAUUCAGGUAGAGAAAUCUGUAGCUUCCUUUAGUGCCUCUUUUACUGCUCUCUCUCUCUCUCUAUCUCUAAUGGCUUUCACAUGAUCACAUCCUUGAUUUGUUAGUGUGUGUGUGUGUGUGUGUAGUGGGGACGGUCAUGUAGGCCACCAUUCAAGUAAAUUGAUUCACUUAUCUCCUCAUUUCUGAGGUCACUGAGGACACACACACACACACAUAUAAACACACACAUAAACACACUUAAAUCAUUGCUGUUCAAAUCACAGACAAUGAGUCUUAAUGGCGAGAGUGUGACUGAAUUGUAGCCACAUUUAGCUUGACCCUCUGCUACUAUAAUCACAUUAAAGUACACGUCCUGCACACACACACACACACACACACAAAAACACAUACACACGUGUGCUCCAGAGGAAGAAUCAGAACUUUGUUUAGUGGAGAAGCUGAUUUGUGAGAAGACAGUGACCUUCUGAAAAAUACUCCUUCUGUUCAGCAUCUGAGCAACCUUACACACACACACACACACUCUCACACACACACACACACACACACACACACACACAGACUGCUCAUGAGCUCAUGACUGCGGUAAAGCAUCAGGAGAUGUGUAAGACCUGAGAA